This 75-nucleotide transfer RNA is filed under the name Methylobrevis pamukkalensis. RNAcentral describes it as "tRNA-Ala". It matches the Rfam family "tRNA". Rfam says of the family: Transfer RNA (tRNA) molecules are approximately 80 nucleotides in length. Their secondary structure includes four short double-helical elements and three loops (D, anti-codon, and T loops). The record is from RNAcentral. Lineage: Bacteria; Pseudomonadati; Pseudomonadota; Alphaproteobacteria; Hyphomicrobiales; Pleomorphomonadaceae.
UGGGGCCGUAGCUCAGAUGGGAGAGCGCUGCAAUCGCACUGCAGAGGUCAGGGGUUCGAUUCCCCUCGCUCCACC